RNAcentral lists this ribosomal RNA (245 nucleotides) under uncultured bacterium. RNAcentral's name for it is "partial small subunit ribosomal RNA". It matches the Rfam family "Bacterial small subunit ribosomal RNA", at positions 26 to 285 of the family's 1533-position model. The record is from RNAcentral.
AGGACGAACGCUGGCGGCGUGCCUAACACAUGCAAGUCGCACGAGAAAGGGGAGCAAUCCCUGAGUACAGUGGCGCACGGGUGAGUAACACGUGAAUGAUCUACCUCCGAGUGGGGAAUAACUGAGAGAAAUCUUGGCUAAUACCGCAUAAUACCCACGGGUCAAAGCAGCAAUGCGCUUGGAGAGGAGUUCGCGGCCGAUUAGCUAGUUGGCGGGGUAAUGGCCCACCAAGGCGAUGAUCGGUA